GAUGAACGCUGGCGGCGUGCCUAAUACAUGCAAGUCGAACGAAACUUCUUUAUCACCGAGUGCUUGCACUCACCGAUAAAGAGUUGAGUGGCGAACGGGUGAGUAACACGUGGGCAACCUGCCCAAAAGAGGGGGAUAACACUUGGAAACAGGUGCUAAUACCGCAUAACCAUAGUUACCGCAUGGUAACUAUGUAAAAGGUGGCUAUACUACCGCUUUUGGAUGGGCCAGCGGCGCAUUAGCUAGUUGGUAGGGUAAAGGCUUACCAAGGCAAUGAUGCGUAGCCGAAUUGAGAGGUUGAUCGGCCACAUUGGGACUGAGACACGGCCCAAACUCCUACGGGAGGCAGCAGUAGGGAAUCUUCCACAAUGGGCGAAAGCCUGAUGGAGCAACGCCGCGUGGGUGAAGAAGGUCUUCGGAUCGUAAAACCCUGUUGUUAGAGAAGAAAGUGAGUGAGAGUAACUGUUCACGUUUCGACGGUAUCUAACCAGAAAGCCACGGCUAACUACGUG
Molecule: ribosomal RNA, 512 nt
Filed under: uncultured bacterium
Lineage: Bacteria
Description: partial 16S ribosomal RNA
Rfam family: Bacterial small subunit ribosomal RNA
Source: RNAcentral